Molecule: long non-coding RNA, 315 nt
Filed under: Mytilus galloprovincialis (Mediterranean mussel)
Lineage: Eukaryota; Metazoa; Mollusca; Bivalvia; Mytilida; Mytilidae
Source: RNAcentral
GAACAAUGAUAUUACCCAUAGUCCUUUAGAUUCUGAAAUGGCUAGUGGUCCAUAAAUAAAAAUGUUAUUUAAAUUCUGAAUUUUUCAAUGUUUUCAAAUAUGUUAAUACAUGUAUAACAUGUAUAAACGUUUGUUGAAUACAGACUACAAUGUUUCAAAACUUUUGUCUCAAAUUAAUUUGCGCCUGUCCCGAGUCAAUAGCCUCUGGCCUUUGUUAGUCUUGUAUUAUAAUUUUAAUUUUAGUUUCUUGUGUACAAUUUGGAAAUUAGUAUGGCGUUCAUUAUCACUGAACUAGUAUAUAUUUGUUUAGGGACC